Molecule: ribosomal RNA, 580 nt
Filed under: Microbacterium sp. YL40(2011)
Lineage: Bacteria; Bacillati; Actinomycetota; Actinomycetes; Micrococcales; Microbacteriaceae
Description: bacterial SSU rRNA
Rfam family: Bacterial small subunit ribosomal RNA
Source: RNAcentral
UUUCCGUGACGCAGCUAACGCAUUAAGUUCCCCGCCUGGGGAGUACGGCCGCAAGGCUAAAACUCAAAGGAAUUGACGGGGACCCGCACAAGCGGCGGAGCAUGCGGAUUAAUUCGAUGCAACGCGAAGAACCUUACCAAGGCUUGACAUAUACGAGAACGGGCCAGAAAUGGUCAACUCUUUGGACACUCGUAAACAGGUGGUGCAUGGUUGUCGUCAGCUCGUGUCGUGAGAUGUUGGGUUAAGUCCCGCAACGAGCGCAACCCUCGUUCUAUGUUGCCAGCACGUAAUGGUGGGAACUCAUGGGAUACUGCCGGGGUCAACUCGGAGGAAGGUGGGGAUGACGUCAAAUCAUCAUGCCCCUUAUGUCUUGGGCUUCACGCAUGCUACAAUGGCCGGUACAAAGGGCUGCAAUACCGUGAGGUGGAGCGAAUCCCAAAAAGCCGGUCCCAGUUCGGAUUGAGGUCUGCAACUCGACCUCAUGAAGUCGGAGUCGCUAGUAAUCGCAGAUCAGCAACGCUGCGGUGAAUACGUUCCCGGGUCUUGUACACACCGCCCGUCAAGUCAUGAAAGUCGGUAA